AUGAGCUCCGUUAUUUCCGGAACCCCCGGAAAGGCGAUCUCAGGGCGAUCGGAGGGAGGAGACGGCGGCCAAACCCAGGCGCCGGAGUUCAGAAAGAUCAGUGGAGAGAAGAGAUCUCCGGUGGAUACCACGGGCUCGGCUGCCUGCCUUGAUCCGCUGGGACUACGGGAAUCGUGGUUGAGAGCCAGAAAGGCAGUUUGCGAUCUAGUGGAGAGGAAAUCAAGGCCAGGAGCUAGGAAGAAAACAGAAAGAGAUCAAGAAAUCCCCAAGGUUCCGUGCCUGGAAAGAUUGGGAAGCAGGAUUAGGGAGAUGAGGGAAGAUCUGUGUCAACCAUCUCUGGAACAGAAUCUGUCUACAAGGCAGGAAACCACGGCAGUCAAAGAAAGGGGAGAUCCACCGGAUCGGGGACGAGAAUAUGAUCAGCAGUUCCAGAUUAUGCAGAUCAAACCAGAAGGAAAGAAUCCGCCCCUGCCAUCCCUAAUGGACGACAGGAUUGGGACGAAGAGCGCCACCCCCCUUUAA
Molecule: ribosomal RNA, 522 nt
Filed under: Triticum aestivum (bread wheat)
Lineage: Eukaryota; Viridiplantae; Streptophyta; Magnoliopsida; Poales; Poaceae
Description: partial small subunit ribosomal RNA
Source: RNAcentral